Vitis vinifera (wine grape) is the source of this 150-nucleotide non-coding RNA. Lineage: Eukaryota; Viridiplantae; Streptophyta; Magnoliopsida; Vitales; Vitaceae. The record is from RefSeq and is marked provisional.
GAAUGAUUAUUGUUGUUAAAGAGAUAAUGGAAAGGGAUGCGAGAGCCGUGCUUAGUAUGCCACCUACUAAGAUUAUUGAAUAUAUAAAACUUCAUCUGCUAAGCACAGCUCUCGCAUCCCUUUCCAUUAUCUCUCAUGGCUUCCCGGUUC